This 450-nucleotide ribosomal RNA is filed under the name uncultured bacterium. RNAcentral describes it as "partial 16S ribosomal RNA". It matches the Rfam family "Bacterial small subunit ribosomal RNA", at positions 28 to 506 of the family's 1533-position model. The record is from RNAcentral.
GAUGAACGCUGGCGGCGUGCCUAACACAUGCAAGUCGAGCGGCAGCGAGGGGUGCUUGCACCCUGUCGGCGAGCGGCGGACGGCUGAGUAACGCGUGGGAACGUGCCCCAAAGUGAGGAAUAACUGCCCGAAAGGGUAGCUAAUACCGCAUAUUAUCUUCGGAUCAAAGGAUUUAUCCGCUUUGGGAGCGGCUCGCGUCGGAUUAGGUAGUUGGUGAGGUAAUGGCUCACCAAGCCGACGAUCCGUAGCUGGUCUGAGAGGAUGACCAGCCAGACUGGAACUGAGACACGGGCCAGACUCCUACGGGAGGCAGCAGGGGGGAAUCUUCCACAAUGGGCGAAAGCCUGAUGGAGCAACGCCGGGGGAAGGACGAAGGCCUUCGGGUUGUAAACUGCUUUUAAAAGUGAGGAAUAUGACGGUAACUUAUGAAUAAGGAUCGGCUAACUACGU